CAAUAGCGUAUAUUAAAGUUGUUGCAGUUAAAAAGCUCGUAGUUGAAUUUCUGGCGGGCGCGCCGGUCUUCCAAGUGUUGUACUGGGCGCAGUCCGCCAUCCUUGUGGAGAGGGCUCGCAUUGAGUUGCGUGUCGGAUCUGCAUCAUUUACUGUGAAAAAAUUAGAGUGUUUAAAGCAGGCUGUCGCUUGAAUACAUUAGCAUGGAAUAAUGAGAUAGGACUUCGGUCUAUUUUGUUGGUUGCGAACCGAGGUAAUGAUUAAUAGGGAUAGUUGGGGGUAUUCAUAUUUAAUUGUCAGAGGUGAAAUUCUUGGAUUUAUGAAAGAUGAACAACUGCGAANGNAUUUACNAAGGAUGUUUNCAUUA
This 365-nucleotide ribosomal RNA is filed under the name uncultured eukaryote. Its description in RNAcentral is "partial 18S ribosomal RNA". It matches the Rfam family "Eukaryotic small subunit ribosomal RNA", at positions 592 to 975 of the family's 1831-position model. The record is from RNAcentral.